AGAACGAACGCUGGCGGCAGGCCUCAAACAUGCAAGUCUAGGGGGUGUAGCAAUACAUCACCGGCGGACGGGUGCGUAACGCGUGGGAAUGUACCUAUUGGUUCGGAACAACUGAGGGAAACUUCAGCUAAUACCGGAUGAGCCCGAAAGGGGAAAGAUUUCUCGCCAAUAGAUCAGCCCGCGUCCGAUUAGCUAGUUGGUGGGGUAAAAGCCUACCAAGGCGACGAUCGGUAGCUGUUCUGAGAGGAAGAUCAGCCACACUGGGACUGAGACACGGCCCAGACUCCUACGGGAGGCAGCAGUUGGGAAUCUUGGCAAUGGGGAAACCCUGAUCCAGCCAUGCCGCGUGAGUGAUGAAGGCCUUCGGGUUGUAAAACUCUUUCGACGGGGACGAUAAUGACGGUACCCGUAGAAGAAGCUCCGGCUAACUUCGUGCCAGCAGCCGC
RNAcentral lists this ribosomal RNA (446 nucleotides) under uncultured bacterium. RNAcentral's name for it is "SSU rRNA". It matches the Rfam family "Bacterial small subunit ribosomal RNA", at positions 26 to 518 of the family's 1533-position model. The record is from RNAcentral.